This 349-nucleotide unclassified non-coding RNA is filed under the name soil metagenome. RNAcentral's name for it is "partial contains 5.8S ribosomal RNA, internal transcribed spacer 2, and large subunit ribosomal RNA". The stretch from base 1 to 121 matches the Rfam family "5.8S ribosomal RNA", at positions 35 to 154 of the family's 154-position model. The record is from RNAcentral.
GAUGAAGAAACGUAGCGAAAUGCGAUAAGUAAUGUGAAUUGCAGAAUUCAGUGAAUCAUCGAGUCUUUGAACGCACAUUGCGCCCCCUGGUAUUCCGGGGGGCAUGCCUGUCCGAGCGUCAUUGCCGCCCUCAAGCACGGCUUGUGUGUUGGGCCCCCGCCCCCCGGCUUCGGGGGGCGGGCCCGAAAGGCAGCGGCGGCACCGCGUCCGGUCCUCGAGCGUAUGGGGCUUCGUCACCCGCUCUGUAGGCCCGGCCGGCGCCCGCCGGCGACCCCAAUCAAUCUUUCCAGGUUGACCUCGGAUCAGGUAGGGAUACCCGCUGAACUUAAGCAUAUCAAUAAGCGGAGGA